GUGGUUCUCCUUAGACCAUCGUCGAUCUAUGCGUUUAUAUACUCUGGUUAGAGUUCAAUUAUGCUAUUAAUCCAUUACAGCAAUAAAGGCAGUCAAAUUCUGCUCUGCUAUUGAUCAAUGUUUGCUCUUUUUUCCUUUUCAUUGGGUGAAUAAAUAAUAAAAGACAAAUCGAAUCUUUCUAUUUAAAGAGUUGUUGACUAAUAAAACUACUAAAUGGAUGAUAAAAUUAAUUAAUUAAUUAAUUAAACUAGAAUAAUCUUAUUGACAAAGUAGGUGGUAGGUUCGUACGAUUCCGGAUCAUUGGUACUAAAAUGUGAAGGAAGAGAUCGAACUUUACAAGAAUUUGUUCUUACUGUAUUCGAACUGGUAAUUGAUUAAAUUUGAUUAAAUUUCUAUGAUGGUGACAUAUAAUGACUUAAAUAUUAUUUUCAGAGAAUAUCACACACGACUUUUCUAUCCUAAUUUUUAUCAAUUUUCCGAACGUAUCAUCACAUACCAUCACGUUCAAGACCCAGCCGACUCUAUAACUAAGGUGUUACUAACGCACAUUAAUAUUACAUUAUUACAUCGCAUUUUCACUGCCAUGGCCAAUUUCAGCGUUUCUCAUCAUUACUCUCUAUUUUGGCAAGUAUGGUAGGAAUCUUUAAAACAACGUACAAGAAUCAAGGGGAAGAAAUAAGAAACUGUAAAGAAACAUAAGUGGGAUAUAUAGUUUGUGAGAGCAUUCAAUUCAGUUCGUGGGGGCAUAAGCUUAAAUAAUUGAUGCAAUUUUAAGAGGUUUUUUUCCCCCCCUUGUACAAGGCUAGCUCUGUGUGUGACACUAUGAGCACACAACAGUGGUGAAUAAUAUUGCCAAAUUGCAACAAAGCUGCAGGGGCUAAAAGUUAAGUGUUUGAAUAUAUAAUAUUACCAAAUUGUUAAUGCUUAUAGGCUAUGUUUGGGAGCUAGGAUUAAUUGUAGGAUUGGACUAAUUAUUGGGACGAAAUAUUAAUACCAUGUUUGGCAUGCUUACUGGGAUUGGACUAAUGGAAUAAAUUCAAAUUUUAAUCCUAAAUUCAUGGGAUCGCUAAUCCUAAUUUUUAUGUGGGUUUAGUUAGGACUAGAUACUGUCAAGAAAAAUGUUUGUCCAUUUAUAAUAUCUUCCAUAAUUUAUUACACCAUUUUAUUUAUAACUUAAAAAUUAUUUAUUUAUUGUUUUUAAUUAAGUAAUUUAUUUUUAUUCAUGAUUUACUCAAAAGUUACUAAUUAAUUUAUUAUUUGAAUAAUUUUAUUUAUUUUAUUUAAUUAAAUGAUAUAUCUCAUUUGAAAUAACUAAAUUUAAAUAAUUUAUACUUCUUUAUUUGUGUGUGUGUAUAUAUUUCUUUUAAGCUUGUUAGUCUUCUGAACUUGUAAUUGGAGAAUUUUGAAACUUUCGCUACAUUUAUGAUUUGAGAGAGAAAUGUCAAGUGUUCAAUUUGUGGAUUUAUUUAAUAAAAUUUGAGAUAUUUCAGUUUGAAAUUUUGUAUAAGGAUUUCGAUAUGUAAACAACCUCCUACUACCGCGUGCUCCACACGUGAUAAAUUUGGAGUGUUACAGUUGUUAUGCUUUACAUAUCCAAAUUGAUUAAGUUGAAAAUUAGGGUAAGAUGAUUAAGUUCUAGGGUUUUACUCAAGAGAAUUCAAAAGAGAAAAGAUGAGGAAUUUAAGAAUUCAGAGGAGAGAGAGAAGAAUUAAUAAGGGUUGGAAUUAAUUUUAUUAUUGCUUGCUUAAAAAAAUAAUGAGAAUCACUUAUUUAUAGUAGCUCAACACACUCCUAAUUCUAAUCUAAUUAGAAUCUUAAACUAUAAUUGCAACAAAAAAACCUAAUCCUAAUAGGAAAGAAGUUAAAAUAAACUACUACGGUUAUGUAGAGAUUUGAUUGAAUUGAUAUUCAAUUCAACCAAUCUUAUCAUGCCACAUCAGUUUGUACAAAAUAAGUUUGUACAAGAGUUUGUGGCUGUAUCAUUACUCAAUUGCUAAUCUUAUAAAACCAAAACUCUGCCCAUGAUCUUUGACUAGGACCAACAUAAGUUGCACACAAGCAAUAAAAUUGAACCAGAAUCUACUCAAUAUCCUCUCCAGUCUCAACAGACAUAACCACUCAAGAACAUAAAUUAAACAACAUAAAAGAAUGAAUCAGAAACAAAAUCAGAGAGAGAGCAAGACAUAACGUGGUUCAAUCUUUUUUUGAGUCCGCACUCUGUUAUGAGUAAAACGCAAGCUUUCAUGUCGUUUUACAUUAAGUAAUCACGAGCUCCCUCACGUGACUUCAUAACGGAAUUAACCGAUAGCCAAUACGCUGCCGUUUGCUCUGGUUUAUAUUUGAAUUCAUUAACUCUACAGGUUCUAAUAGAUUCUAAUAUGAUUUUGUUUCAAAAUCAAGAUUGAAGAUCAUCCACGGCAGUAGGAGAUUUAAGUUGGAUGACUUAUGGUGUUGACAGUCUUUUUUUUCUUUUAUUUCCAGAAUUUAUUUCCUCCUUUGCAAGUUGUGUUCUCUCAAGACUCACAGCUCUGCCAAAUUCUGGCGUGAAGGCUUAUCACCUUCCUCUUUAAUGCAGCUUUGCAGCCCACAUCAGUAGCCAGUUGGAGUCAAAUGAAAAAUUUAGGGUCGUGUAAUUAGUCUCAUGCAUCCACAAAUUUGAUAACUUUUAACUCAAAAUGGGUAUAAACUUAUGGUGAUUUAAUAAGAAUGCAGUGAAGAAUUAAGAGAUAUUCAAGUGCCUGCAAUUGGGUUGGUUUCCCAUAUCCCAACCAAUCCAACAUUUCAGGAUAAGGCUUUUCGUUUAAAUUAAUAGCACAACGUGCCAGAGGGAUAGUCCAAAUUAUUGUUGCGUUCUCUCAACUCUCAAUUCUCAUGAUAUUAGUUAUUGCUUCGUAAAGAACAUUUGGCAACCUCAGAUGGAGGAAUCUGAAACAGAGAUGGCGUCAUUGCCCUAUGAUUGAGGCUUUGAAUUAACUCUUUCCCAGCAUGUUUCUUUGAUUCAUGAGGAUAUGCAUUCUCUUUUUUUUUCAUAAUACAUUAAUUAAAAAUUAUACAAAUGGAAGAAGGAAGCAAGUAAAGUAAAUCAAACAUUGAACAUGACAAGGUACAAAAGGCAAGCGAGUCUCAGGUAUCAAGCUUUCCUAGGCGACAAUCAAGUUCAACAAAGCAAAG
RNAcentral lists this long non-coding RNA (3171 nucleotides) under Citrus x clementina. RNAcentral describes it as "Citrus clementina (C. clementina) long non-coding RNA (CCLE_LNC005886)". The record is from RNAcentral. Lineage: Eukaryota; Viridiplantae; Streptophyta; Magnoliopsida; Sapindales; Rutaceae.